ACAUAGGGGCCAUUUGGCCCGACCGCUUUUCCCCAAUACACUAAUCACUCAUUUUGUUAUGGUAAUGAGGCUGUUAGUGGCAGUGUGUGGGGUGAGGGGGUCACAUUUCACACACUUCACACUUCAGUGGUGAAGUCAUGUUGGCUACUUCUGUGUGAAUGUGAGAAUGAGGAAUAAAAACACAUUCUAUUCUAAAAUGUGAACAUGUGAAUGUCCCAUGUGACCAUAACGACUCAUGUGACUGCAACCAGACAAUUGUUUGAUGGAUAAAUACCUCAGUGCACAUGGACUAUCGCUUCAGUUCCCUCAAGAAUUUUGUGGUGAAAGAAGCUCCUCUCCAAGGAACGAAGAUGCAGAGAUUCAACAUUCAACAGGCAUUAGCACCACAUGAGCACCGCAUGAGCACCCAGUGCACUCAUCUGUUAAUCAGCAUGGCCCUUGAUUGACCCAUGAGCUUCAUAUAUGACGACAUCUCCUGCAACGCUUUCAUUGGGUUGUGUGGCAUCACACUCACAAACGCAAUUCUCUACAGUUACGAGAACCACUACUCAUCCAGAUUCCAGUGAAAUUUUUCGCCUGAAAUAGUACGCAUCACAUCAAAGGAGGGUGUCAAGAAACAGGAUGCAGAUCAGAGCUAAAAUGUUUCCAAGUCAAAGAGACAUCAACAACCAUUAUGUGUGAUAUGUGAGACAGGAAACUCACUAAAUGUUUUGAGAAUAAAAAAGUAUGUGAAGA
Long non-coding RNA from Neoarius graeffei (lesser salmon catfish), 735 nucleotides. RefSeq lists it as uncharacterized. The transcript is spliced from 3 exons. NCBI's taxonomy places the organism in Eukaryota, Metazoa, Chordata, Actinopteri, Siluriformes, Ariidae. The record is from RefSeq and is a predicted model, not a curated record.